AGUGUGCCCUUUCCCUCCUGCCUUUUUAGUAGCUCCGGGUAAAUAUUGAUUUGCCUCCAGUUUACCUCCUCCCUGAAUGGCCGUUUGCAGACUGAGGAACUAGCCUCUGGAGCGACUCGAUUUUUGUGUUACUUUCCGGCCCGUUCGCCCCCCUUUCUUCCUCCCUUCCUCCAAGUGGCAUUGUAAAACUCACAGUGACAAAGAAACAGGGUAGGGUUCGAGGCCCCAGUUCCUGAGAGGUUGAGGGCUGUUUUACAUACAGGUCAGACACGGCUAGAGGCCAAGGUCAAGUUGAAAGUUGCAGUCUAGCCAGCGUGAGAACUGCCAUGCAAGCCUGGAGCCCCCCCCCCCUGCCGAUAAGCCCACUGCUCACCUCCCUUGU
RNAcentral lists this long non-coding RNA (382 nucleotides) under Panthera tigris altaica (Amur tiger). Its description in RNAcentral is "HOXA transcript at the distal tip, conserved region 2 (ENSPTIG00000000925.1)". It matches the Rfam family "HOXA transcript at the distal tip, conserved region 2". The record is from RNAcentral. Lineage: Eukaryota; Metazoa; Chordata; Mammalia; Carnivora; Felidae.